This 1343-nucleotide long non-coding RNA is filed under the name Cricetulus griseus (Chinese hamster). RNAcentral describes it as "lncRNA (ENSCGRG00015032825.1)". Lineage: Eukaryota; Metazoa; Chordata; Mammalia; Rodentia; Cricetidae. The record is from RNAcentral.
GUUGGUCCCGGUGCAACACCUCCUGCCCACUCCCUCACAGGAAUGAAAUGCUCUCAGAGACCCUGAGUACCUGCCACGCCCAGCCCUCCUGGGCAGAAAUACCACUAUCCUCCUGAUGGACAUGGAGUCCUCCUGCAACUUCUCCAUGGCUGCCCACCUGUGCAUAAGGGCAGCCUGCAGGCUUCGGUGACCAUCAUCCCAACACUAAAUUCCUUGUCUACGCUGCUGAUCAUCAGCUGCAUCUAUGGAAGACAUGCGGACGGCGGUCCCGACUCACCCGUCCCAGCCCACCAUCCCCAUGAAGGACCCAGUACCUGAAACAGUGCCUGUCAGAGAAGGCACUUUGUCAAUACAUGCUGAAAUGUGAUCUGAUGAAGCAGAGUGCACUACACCAAACACUUGGAAACCUGGCCCCUGGUCUGCUCUGGUUAUACAAGACCCUCACCAACUCCAUUGCUGUUGAAAUGUCUAGAGAGCAAUCAUUUGGGACAGGGUGCUACUAAGUCAAUACACGUGCAAUUAUGCUCAUCACCAGCUGCCUACACACACAGGAAGAAACUGGACACAGAAAUCAUGGCACAGAGUAGCUUACACUGCAAGAUGCUGCUAAUAACUGGUAAAACUAAGAUUAUGCGACACCGGCAGUGAUGGUGAGAAUCUUCGUCAUAAAAUUCACUACACGGGGUUGUGUAGGUAAAAUGAAAUAAUGCAAAUUAAAGCAAGGCAGGGUUGACAGUAGGCAUUCAUAUUUUUAAAUGCCAAGUAUCUUGGCCUGGAAACGGAGAAUUCGUUCAAAGCCUCCGGUUUUCUGCAGGAACCUGAUCAGCAGAGACAUCCGCACCGUUUUGAGGUUCUAUGGAAGGCUCCUACUUAGUUGGAAGCAAUUGCAGCUGGUGGAGUAGGAGGCCGCUUCCAGCAGGGCUUGGGUUCCCGGGGUCUCUGAGCACGCAGAGACCGGGUCCGCCCUGCCCCACGCCGCUUCCGGCGGGGUUGACAGUUUUCCCUGGGAGCCCCGCCCUGGGCGAAGGCUCGGGUUUCCAUUAGUGAAGUUGGGGGACAGAGCUGUGUCUCUGGUUCUUAACCUAUGGAUCCCGCAGUUUUUUCGGCUGGAAUAAUCGGGAGGUGAGAAACAAUGGAAAAGAAAUGAUUCCUGGGAUUGGAGAGAAGGCUCAGCAGUUAAGAGCACUUGCUGUUCUUGCAGAAGACCAAGGUUCAGUUCUCAGUACCCACAUGGCAGCUCAUAACCACUAUCUCAAGGGAUAUGACAUCCUCUUUAGGCCCCUGUGGACACUGUAUGCAUGUGGUACAUAUACAUGUUUUCAGGCAAAGCUUUCACACAUACA